Molecule: long non-coding RNA, 780 nt
Organism: Lathyrus oleraceus (garden pea)
Lineage: Eukaryota; Viridiplantae; Streptophyta; Magnoliopsida; Fabales; Fabaceae
Exons: 2
Source: RefSeq, a predicted model, not a curated record
AUUGCAGUUAUAGAAUGAGGAUAUAUUAAGUCUCUUGAAGUGAAGAAAAAAAUCUAUUAGGGUUCAUCGCGUUGUGGAGGCGAUCACCAAUAAAAUUUGGACUCUGCGUCUCCCUUUUUCCAUUCUCAUCUCUUGCAUUCAGUUUUAUGUAGUUUCUUUCGCUUCCAGCCAGAUCAAUCACAACUUGGGACCAGCUUGUUACCAAGUUCCGGGCUAGGUACUUUCCUCUAUCAAGAUUGAUGUAAACGAGGAGAGAUAUAGUUGAAUUCGCUCAGUUUGAGUCGGAAUCAUUAUAUGAGGCCAAGGAGCGGUUUCAAGACUUGUUGAGAAGAUGCCCUGAUCCUGAUAUUGCAGAUUGGUUUCUGCCUCAGAUUUUCUUUAAAGGGUUGACACCUGCUAACCAAUCAUUGCUUGAUGUUUCUCUUGGUGGUUAUCUGCGAAAAAACAAACCUACAAUGGCUUAUGAUUUGCUAGAUGAGAUGACCUCAACCGAUUUCCAGGAGCAGCGUCUAGAGAAGUUACAUGUUUCAGCUACUCAUACACUGUAUUAUUGAAGCAGGUGUUUGUCUGACACUCUUACGACAUGUGUUUGUUGUCAACUUAACAAGUAUUGUUUAUUUUUAUUUCCUUGUUUACUGUCAACUUAGACAACUAUGGUUUAGUUUUAUUUCCUUGUUUCAACACACCAUUGACACUCAUUUGAUAUGUCUCAGACAUAUCUGUAGGAGAUUAAAGAUGUGUCGAUGAUAGUUAAUGAAAAGUUAAAGAUGUUAAACUUGA